This 431-nucleotide ribosomal RNA is filed under the name Drosophila nasuta. RNAcentral's name for it is "partial 12S ribosomal RNA". The record is from RNAcentral. Lineage: Eukaryota; Metazoa; Arthropoda; Insecta; Diptera; Drosophilidae.
AAACUAGGAUUAGAUACCCUAUUAUUUAAAAUAUAAUUAUAAAUACUUAAGUAGUAGUAGUUAUGUUCUUGAAACUUAAAAAAUUUGGCGGUAUUUUAGUCUAUCCAGAGGAACCUGUUUUGUAAUCGAUAAUCCACGAUGGACCUUACUUAAGUUUGUAAUCAGUUUAUAUACCGUCGUUAUCAGAAUAUUUUAUAAGAAUAAAAAUAUUCAAUAAUUUAUAUUAAAAUUUAUAUCAGAUCAAGGUGUAGCUUAUAUUUAAGUAAUAAUGGGUUACAAUAAAAAUAUUUAAACGAAUAAAAUAAUGAAAAAAUUUUUGAAGGUGGAUUUGGCAGUAAAAUUAUAAAGAUUAAUAAUUUGAUUUAGCUCUAAAAUAUGUACACAUCGCCCGUCGCUCUUAUUAUUAAGGUAAGAUAAGUCGUAACAUAGUA